AUUCGUUUAUGUAGUUCGAGCUGUAUAAAAAGGCCAAACGUUCGAACCAAUUCACUCUAUUCACUUGAUCCACUCUGCAAUUUGCAAUUUUUCCACUUUCAGCUGUAGAAAUGCUUUCUAAGGUCCUUGCUGCUGUUGCCUUCUUGGGCUUGCUUGCUUAUGCUGCUGCUGAUCCCAAUGUAUUCGACGACAUCGAAACAGGAUUGAACCAUAUUAUUGGCCAUGACCAACAUCACCACUGAUAUAAUUAGUGUGAGCUUAAUGAGCAUAUGAAAAUGUAUUAGCAGACAAAGAAAAUAAUAAAUUUUG
Argiope bruennichi is the source of this 309-nucleotide long non-coding RNA. RefSeq lists it as uncharacterized. The transcript has 3 exons. NCBI's taxonomy places the organism in Eukaryota, Metazoa, Arthropoda, Arachnida, Araneae, Araneidae. The record is from RefSeq and is a predicted model, not a curated record.